This is a long non-coding RNA of Neopelma chrysocephalum (saffron-crested tyrant-manakin), 366 nucleotides long. RefSeq lists it as uncharacterized. The record is from RefSeq and is a predicted model, not a curated record. The transcript has 4 exons. Lineage: Eukaryota; Metazoa; Chordata; Aves; Passeriformes; Pipridae.
GCUCCAAAUGGAACGGUCAAAAGUCCCUCUUUUUAUUGUAUUCUCCUUCUGCAGGCUGAUUUAUGGUGUGUGUUCUCCCUCGUGCUUUGACAGGAUGCUCUGGCAGUGCUGGCUGAGGUGGCUUAUGUGGACAUGCUGGAGGGAGACACGGAAUGUCACGUCCGCUUCAAGACUCCCGAGGAUGCCCAGACUGUCCUGAGAUCCCACAAAGAGAUCCAGCUCAAAAACAACUGCAAAUUCGAAGUUCUCACUGGUGACAAUGAACAACGUUACUGGCAGAAGAUUUUAGUGGACAGACAAGCUAAACUUAACCAACCUCGAGAAAAGAAGAGGGGGACUGAGAAGGUAAUUGCCAAGGCUGGGAGG